AUGAACGCUAGCUACAAGCUUAACACAUGCAAGUCGAACGAGAAGAGAUGAGAAGCUUGCUCUUAUCGAUUCGAGUGGCAAACGGGUGAGUAACGCGUAAGCAACCUGCCCUUCAGAUGGGGACAACAGCUGGAAACGGCUGCUAAUACCGAAUACGUCUUUUGUCGCAUGGCAGAGGGAAGAAAGGGUGGCCUCUACUUGUAAGCUAUCGCCUGAAGAGGGGUUUGCGUCUGAUUAGGUAGUUGGUGAGGUAACGGCCCACCAAGCCGACGAUCAGUAGCCGGUCUGAGAGGAUGAACGGCCACAUUGGGACUGAGACACGGCCCAGACUCCUACGGGAGGCAGCAGUGGGGAAUCUUCCGCAAUGGACGAAAGUCUGACGGAGCAACGCCGCGUGAACGAUGACGGCCUUCGGGUUGUAAAGUUCUGUUAUACGGGACGAAUGGUACGACGGUCAAUACCCGUCGUAAGUGACGGUACCGUAAGAGAAAGCCACGGCUAACUACGUG
This 509-nucleotide ribosomal RNA is filed under the name uncultured bacterium. RNAcentral describes it as "bacterial SSU rRNA". It matches the Rfam family "Bacterial small subunit ribosomal RNA", at positions 29 to 507 of the family's 1533-position model. The record is from RNAcentral.